Molecule: ribosomal RNA, 257 nt
Filed under: uncultured Pseudomonas sp.
Lineage: Bacteria; Pseudomonadati; Pseudomonadota; Gammaproteobacteria; Pseudomonadales; Pseudomonadaceae
Description: partial 16S ribosomal RNA
Rfam family: Bacterial small subunit ribosomal RNA
Source: RNAcentral
CGGCGGACGGGUGAGUAAUGCCUAGGAAUCUGCCUGGUAGUGGGGGACAACGUUUCGAAAGGAACGCUAAUACCGCAUACGUCCUACGGGAGAAAGCAGGGGACCUUCGGGCCUUGCGCUAUCAGAUGAGCCUAGGUCGGAUUAGCUAGUUGGUGAGGUAAUGGCUCACCAAGGCGACGAUCCGUAACUGGUCUGAGAGGAUGAUCAGUCACACUGGAACUGAGACACGGUCCAGACUCCUACGGGAGGCAGCAGCC